This is a non-coding RNA of Manis pentadactyla (Chinese pangolin), 535 nucleotides long. Lineage: Eukaryota; Metazoa; Chordata; Mammalia; Pholidota; Manidae. The record is from the annotation of a RefSeq genome assembly.
AUGGCAUUGAGCACUGACCCAGAGUGGGGCUCCCACCAUGGACAGCAGACCUCUGACCUCCUGCCGCUCCCCCACCCCGCAGGUCAGCCCAAGGCCGCGCCCUCGGUCACCCUCUUCCCGCCCUCCUCCGAGGAGCUCAGCGCCAACAAGGCCACAGUGGUGUGUCUCAUCAGUGACUUCUACCCCGGCGCCGUGACGGUGGCCUGGAAGGCGGACGGCGCCCCCGUCACCCAGGGCGUGGAGACCACCAAGCCCUCCAAACAGAGCAACAACAAGUACGCGGCCAGCAGCUACCUGAGGCUCUCCCCCGACGCGUGGAAGUCUCACAGCAGCGUCAGCUGCCAGGUCACGCACGAAGGGAGCACCGUGGAGAAGACGCUGGCCCCCAGGGAGUGCUCUUAGGCCCCGAGCCCCCGCCCCUGGGCGCCUGGAUACACGGGCCUCCGGGGAGGGUCUCCCUACCCCCGCACUCCCCCCAGCCCUGUCCCUGCUCCUCAUCAACUCGCAAUAAAGGGUCCUCCUUGUCAAUCAGGAA